RNAcentral lists this ribosomal RNA (460 nucleotides) under uncultured bacterium. RNAcentral describes it as "partial 16S ribosomal RNA". It matches the Rfam family "Bacterial small subunit ribosomal RNA", at positions 338 to 795 of the family's 1533-position model. The record is from RNAcentral.
CCUACGGGAGGCAGCAGUGAGGAAUAUUGGUCAAUGGGCGUAAGCCUGAACCAGCCAAGUCGCGUGAGGGAUGAAGGUUCUAUGGAUCGUAAACCUCUUUUAUAAGGGAAUAAAGUGUGGGACGUGUCCUGUUUUGUAUGUACUUUAUGAAUAAGGAUCGGCUAACUCCGUGCCAGCAGCCGCGGUAAUACGGAGGAUCCGAGCGUUAUCCGGAUUUAUUGGGUUUAAAGGGUGCGUAGGCGGGUUUUUAAGUCAGUGGUGAAAGUCUGUGGCUCAACCAUAGAAUUGCCGUUGAUACUGGGAGGCUUGAGUAUAUUUGAGGCAGGCGGAAUGCGUGGUGUAGCGGUGAAAUGCUUAGAUAUCACGCAGAACCCCGAUUGCGAAGGCAGCCUGCCAAGCCAUGACUGACGCUGAUGCACGAAAGCGUGGGGAUCAAACAGGAUUAGAUACCCCUGUAGUC